GUUAUAUGGUCAAGCGAAUAAGCGCACACGGUGGAUGCCUUGGCGGUCAGAGGCGAUGAAGGACGUGGCAGCCUGCGAAAAGUAUCGGGGAGCUGGCAACAAGCUUUGAUCCGGUAAUGUCCGAAUGGGGAAACCCACCCGCUUGCGGGUAUCCUGCAGUGAAUACAUAGCUGCUGGAAGCGAACCUGGUGAACUGAAAUAUCUAAGUAACCAGAGGAAAAGAAAUCAACCGAGAUUCCGUAAGUAGCGACGAGCGAACGCGGACUAGCCCUUAAGCUGAUUUGGUUCUAGGAAAACGCUCUGGAAAGAGCGGCCAUAGAAGGUGAUAGCCCUGUAUCUGAAAGGGCCAUUUCAGUGAAGACGAGUAGGGCGGGGCACGUGAAACCCUGUCUGAACAUGGGGGGACCAUCCUCCAAGGCUAAAUACUACUGACCGACCGAUAGUGAACCAGUACCGUGAGGGAAAGGCGAAAAGAACCCCGGAGAGGGGAGUGAAAUAGAACCUGAAACCGUGUGCGUACAAGCAGUAGGAGCUCCGCAAGGAGUGACUGCGUACCUUUUGUAUAAUGGGUCAGCGACUUACUGUUCGUGGCAAGCUUAACCGUAUAGGGGAGGCGAAGGGAAACCGAGUCUGAUAAGGGCGCAUAGUCGCGGGCAGUAGACCCGAAACCGGGUGAUCUAGUCAUGCCCAGGGUGAAGGUGCGGUAACACGCACUGGAGGCCCGAACCCACUCCCGUUGCAAAGGUAGGGGAUGAGGUGUGAUUAGGAGUGAAAAGCUAAUCGAACCCGGAGAUAGCUGGUUCUCCUCGAAAGCUAUUUAGGUAGCGCCUCAUAUGUAUCCUCUCGGGGGUAGAGCACUGUUAUGGCUAGGGGGUCAUCGCGACUUACCAAACCAUUGCAAACUCCGAAUACCGAGACGGACUGUAUGGGAGACACACGGCGGGUGCUAACGUCCGUCGUGAAAAGGGAAACAACCCAGACCCACAGCUAAGGUCCCAAAUUCACUGCUAAGUGGAAAACCAUGUGGAAAGGCACAGACAGCCAGGAGGUUGGCUUAGAAGCAGCCACCCUUUAAAGAAAGCGUAAUAGCUCACUGGUCGAGUCGGUCUGCGGGGAAGAUUUAACGGGGCUAAGCAGUGAACCGAAGCUUGGGGUGCAUAACUUUGUUAUGCGCGGUAGAGGAGCGUUCCGUAAGCCGUUGAAGGUGGAUUGAGAAGUCUGCUGGAGGUAUCGGAAGUGCGAAUGCUGACAUGAGUAACGAUAAUGCGGGUGAAAAACCCGCACGCCGAAAGCCCAAGGUUUCCUUGCGCAACGUUAAUCGGCGCAGGGUGAGUCGGCCCCUAAGGCGAGGACGAAAGUCGUAGUCGAUGGGAAGCAGGUUAAUAUUCCUGCACCUCGCGUAAGUGCGAUGGAGGGACGGAGAAGGUUAGGUGUACCAGGCGUUGGUUGUCCUGGGGAAAGGCGGUAGGUUUGGAUCUUUGGCAAAUCCGGGAUCCUCUAAGACCGAGCACCGAGACGAGCCUUUAUGGCGAAGUCACUGAUACCACGCUUCCAGGAAAAGCUCCUAAGCUUCAGCUUACGCAGACCGUACCGUAAACCGACACAGGUGGGUAGGAUGAGAAUUCUCAGGCGCUUGAGAGAACUCGGGUGAAGGAACUAGGCAACAUGGCACCGUAACUUCGGGAGAAGGUGCACCCUUUUUGGUGGCUCGUGCGAGCUAUAGCUGAAGAGGGUCGCAGUAACCAGGCCGCUGCGACUGUUUAUCAAAAACACAGCACUCUGCAAACACGAAAGUGGACGUAUAGGGUGUGACGCCUGCCCGGUGCUGGAAGGUUAAUUGAUGGGGUCAGCCGCAAGGCGAAGCUCUUGAUCGAAGCCCCAGUAAACGGCGGCCGUAACUAUAACGGUCCUAAGGUAGCGAAAUUCCUUGUCGGGUAAGUUCCGACCUGCACGAAUGGCGUAACGACAGCGGCGCUGUCUCCACCCGAGACUCAGUGAAAUUGAAAUCGCUGUGAAGAUGCAGCGUUCCCGUGGCAAGACGGAAAGACCCCGUGAACCUUUACUAUAGCUUUACACUGAACGUUGAGUUCGUCUGUGUAGGAUAGGUGGGAGGCUAUGAAACUGUGGCGCUAGCUGCAGCGGAGCCAUCCUUGAAAUACCACCCUGUCGUGCUUGACGUUCUAACCUGGGCCCAUUAUCUGGGUCGGGGACCGUGUAUGGUGGGUAGUUUGACUGGGGCGGUCUCCUCCUAAAGAGUAACGGAGGAGCUCGAAGGUACGCUCAGCGCGGUCGGACAUCGCGCACUGUGUGCAAAGGCAUAAGCGUGCUUGACUGCAAGAUCGACGGAUCAAGCAGGUAGGAAACUAGGACUUAGUGAUCCGGUGGUUCUGUAUGGAAGGGCCAUCGCUCAACGGAUAAAAGGUACUCCGGGGAUAACAGGCUGAUACCGCCCAAGAGUUCAUAUCGACGGCGGUGUUUGGCACCUCGAUGUCGGCUCAUCACAUCCUGGGGCUGUAGUCGGUCCCAAGGGUAUGGCUGUUCGCCAUUUAAAGUGGUACGCGAGCUGGGUUCAGAACGUCGUGAGACAGUUCGGUCCCUAUCUGCCAUGGGCGUUGGAGAUUUGAGAGGGGCUGCUCCUAGUACGAGAGGACCGGAGUGGACGAACCUCUGGUGUUCCGGUUGUCACGCCAGUGGCAUUGCCGGGUAGCUAUGUUCGGAAGCGAUAACCGCUGAAAGCAUCUAAGCGGGAAGCGCGCCUCAAGAUGAGAUCUCCCGGGGCACAAGCCCCCUGAAGGAACCAUGUAGACUACGUGGUUGAUAGGUCAGGUGUGUAAGUACAGCAAUGUAUUGAGCUAACUGAUACUAAUGAUCCGUGCGGCUUGACCAUAUAACCU
RNAcentral lists this ribosomal RNA (2894 nucleotides) under Stenotrophomonas maltophilia. RNAcentral describes it as "23S ribosomal RNA". It matches the Rfam family "Bacterial large subunit ribosomal RNA". The record is from RNAcentral. Lineage: Bacteria; Pseudomonadati; Pseudomonadota; Gammaproteobacteria; Lysobacterales; Lysobacteraceae.